CUUGUUGCUGCGGCAACAGUUUUCACGCUCGUCUCCGUGCGAAGUGAGUGUCGGAAUGCAUGACUGCGGUGACCGGAACGUCGCGGCGUUAAUGCUCGAAUCGGUGCAUUACAUUGGUAGAACUUGGUUUCACUGGUUAGCUUCUAACCAGGCACUUUUAGACUUGUUGUGGCUUACUGGAUUCAGUUGUGACAUGCCUUAGAAAGCAAUAAGAAUCUCUUACAGCCAUCCGCUGGCGUAAUUAGGAUUGCAGGUUAAGUUUAGAAAUCGCGCUUUACAGACAGCCGAGUCUAGUCGACGGUGCGCCGAUCAUGGCCUAGGAUUUUAACCAAAACCAUUGCUCUGUUCAACAAUUUGUGAUCCAAUGCCUUCCGCAGAGCUUAGUUGAUUCUGGUUAGGAAAUCAGCUCCUAAGUGAUCAGAAAGGUAAGAUUUUAAGUACUUCUGUCCACGACCUACGUAUAAUUUACACCGUUGUUAAGA
Molecule: non-coding RNA, 482 nt
Organism: Physcomitrium patens
Lineage: Eukaryota; Viridiplantae; Streptophyta; Bryopsida; Funariales; Funariaceae
Source: RefSeq, a predicted model, not a curated record